Ictidomys tridecemlineatus (thirteen-lined ground squirrel) is the source of this 571-nucleotide non-coding RNA. NCBI's taxonomy places the organism in Eukaryota, Metazoa, Chordata, Mammalia, Rodentia, Sciuridae. The record is from RefSeq and is a predicted model, not a curated record.
GUAAGGAAGAGGCAUUUGUAGACAGCCCAGGUUCUGUCGUUGGCUCUGCUGCCUAAGUACUUGGUGACUUCAGAUAAACUGUGUCUUCUCUGGUUUUCACUUUUCCUAAGUGAAAUGGAGACGUUGAGCUAUGUCAGUGAUCAAACCAGCUCAGUUGAGGAUCUUGGUACCACCACAAUUUCUCCUGAUUAUUCUGAAGCAUGACACCUCUGAACCCCAGGGAACUCAGUUCUCUCUCAGAGCACCUUCAUCCACCUUCGCAGAUGGAAAGUUCCAGAAGCCAUGGCCUCUGUUCCACUCAUCUAAGACUCCUGGGAUAGAAAUGUCCAGCACUGGAACUCUCAUGCAGCAAGGGACCUGGGCUUCACCUACAGGAACAGGAGGAGGAGCCCUCACCUCCUCCCCCCAACACCCUGGCCCCUGUCCCUUGAGUCUCCACUGGGGCCACAAGACAGAGUAUGAGACUCCUUUCAUCUGUAAAGUGAGGAGGAACUGGUCUAGAUCUGGGGUCCCCAGGAGAGGGCUUCUGGACCCCUUCAGGUACAUUAAAACAUCCACGGGGACUUGAGAA